UACGGAGGGUGCAAGCGUUGUUCGGAAUCAUUGGGCGUAAAGAGCAUGUAGGCGGCUUGGCAAGUCGGCUGUGAAAGCCCGGGGCCCAACCCCGGAAUUGCAGUUGAUACUGUCUCGCUAGAGUCCCGGAGAGGAAGGCAGAAUUCCCGGUGUAGGGGUGAAAUCCGUAGAUAUCGGGAGGAAUACCAGCGGCGAAGGCGGCCUUCUGGACGGUGACUGACGCUGAGAUGCGAAAGCGUGGGGAGCAAACAGG
This 253-nucleotide unclassified non-coding RNA is filed under the name uncultured delta proteobacterium. RNAcentral describes it as "contains 16S-23S intergenic spacer region". It matches the Rfam family "Bacterial small subunit ribosomal RNA", at positions 524 to 776 of the family's 1533-position model. Lineage: Bacteria; Deltaproteobacteria. The record is from RNAcentral.